UGACAAAUGAACACGCUUGCGCAAAGACUGCUACGCGUGGUUUAAAUACCGAGGGUUUUUUGUGCCCUUCCCUCUUCAGUGCAGUCCUGACACGCUGAAUGUGGCACGUGGUUCAUCCUUGAACAACAUUCGACAGAAAAUGGCCUCUGACCUAGACGGUACUUGGUGGACUCUGUGCAGCGGCGAAGACCCGCCGUGAACACUGAUGGACCAGGCCCAGAUGUCCGGUGUUGAAGAUUAGAUGAAGACCUAAUCACGUGUACACUGACCUGAAGUGGCAUGAAGUCCCCCCAUCUGAGAUGUGGCAGCUCUAUGAUGAUCGUGUUAUCACCAAUUCCAUGGAUCAUGACUGGUGGUGUUCCUGUUUACUGCAUCAUGGGCAGCGUUGAAGGAUGGUCCAUCAGUUCUGGGCAAGGCCGGUCAUGCCUUCCCCCUCUGGACCAAGGGGUCUCUUAAGGCACAGCGAGUCCCUUGAUGUGUGCUGGACCCCCUGGGCUGGAAUUCCAACUGGAUGUGUACAAAUUCCACAAGUGUUGUGUGGAUUGUCCUUUUGAACAAUGUAAUGUUGAAGAAAAACGCAGUUAAUAAAACUUCAAUUGGAAAAAUCAGAA
Long non-coding RNA from Engraulis encrasicolus (European anchovy), 611 nucleotides. RefSeq lists it as uncharacterized. The transcript is spliced from 5 exons. NCBI's taxonomy places the organism in Eukaryota, Metazoa, Chordata, Actinopteri, Clupeiformes, Engraulidae. The record is from RefSeq and is a predicted model, not a curated record.